RNAcentral lists this ribosomal RNA (253 nucleotides) under uncultured bacterium. RNAcentral's name for it is "partial 16S ribosomal RNA". It matches the Rfam family "Bacterial small subunit ribosomal RNA", at positions 524 to 776 of the family's 1533-position model. The record is from RNAcentral.
UACGGGGGGGGCAAGCGUUGUUCGGAAUUACUGGGCGUAAAGGGCUCGUAGGUGGCCAACUAAGUCAUACGUGAAAUCCCUCGGCUUAACCGGGGAACUGCGCCUGAUACUGGUUGGCUUGAGUUUGGGAGAGGGAUGCGGAAUUCCAGGUGUAGCGGUGAAAUGCGUAGAUAUCUGGAGGAACACCGGUGGCGAAGGCGGCGUCCUGGACCAAUACUGACACUGAGGAGCGAAAGCCAGGGGAGCAAACGGG